UACAGAGGGUGCAAGCGUUGCUCGGAAUUAUUGGGCGUAAAGCGCACGUAGGCGGCAUCGUAAGUCUGAUGUGAAAGCCCUGGGCUCAACCCAGGAAGUGCAUUGGAUACUGCGGAGCUUGAAUCUGGAAGAGGGUCGCGGAAUUCCCGGUGUAGAGGUGAAAUUCGUAGAUAUCGGGAGGAACACCAGUGGCGAAGGCGGCGACCUGGGCCAAGAUUGACGCUGAGGUGCGAAAGCGUGGGGAGCAAACAGG
RNAcentral lists this ribosomal RNA (253 nucleotides) under uncultured bacterium. RNAcentral describes it as "partial 16S ribosomal RNA". It matches the Rfam family "Bacterial small subunit ribosomal RNA", at positions 524 to 776 of the family's 1533-position model. The record is from RNAcentral.